CUCUGGAAGACUUUAGUCAGUGUCUGUGACCGGCUCAACAGGGAAGAACAUCUUCCUCCCAUCUCCGAGGAGGAGGGGCCCUUUCUCACCCGACUCUGGGUACCAGGGCCCGAGGACCACCCAGAACAGAAGCCCAAGACAUUGGGAGGGGACCCCCAGAUGGCAGGCUGAGCACCCGGGAAACGAGAGUUGCUUGGUGAGGACGCUUCAGACAUAGACUUGGGGGACACUGUACUCUGUGCCAGUGAGCCCUUCCUGCCCCAGGGGAGGGCCUUAGAGAAGGGAGGGCACCCUGGGCCUCUCCGAGGGCAGGAGUCCUGAGGAUGGGGAGACCUGACAAGCUUAGGGCUACAGAAGGAGAAGACAGAAGUCUCUUUGGAGCCCAGGAUCCUCUCAGAGAGGAGCGGAGGGUGGGGACAACGACUGUUAAAGGCCUGACCCUUGGACUCUGUCCACAUCGGCUCCUUGUUGGCUCUGCCUGUGUCUCUUUAGAACAAGAAGGGCAGGUGUCCUUGGUCCCAGGGGAAAGAGUGGGCAGUGGCUGGCUCAGGAGGAAAGGAAGGGGCCCAGCCCUGGGCCAGUGGGAGGAAAGUGAGCUCCGGAUGGCCAGAGGGGCCUGGGAAGUACUCCAGGGCUUAACAGUUGUCAGCCUCCUCAGGGUCCCCAGCCCACCGGCCUCCUGCUUUGGUGCCAUGAAGCUGAGUCUGUCUGGACAUCUCAGCACAGGGGCUCCCAGCUGGGGCUCUGUGCCCAGACUUCAGAAUCCCACGUCAUGACUGCCCAGACGGGCCACUCCCACCAGACUCGCGAGCCAGGAAAGAAUGGGCGUGCCGUCAGGACGCAGGCCCCACUGUGCGUCAGGCUCUGGACGUGGGAUGACCGGCCAUCCCAGACACUCCCUCUGAAGACACUGGACACACUCUAAGAAGAAAUUAGUACAGCAGGGACCUCACAGAGACAGGAAAGACUCUCACCGAAGAGGAGCAGGAUGGUUAAUCUACAUGUCCACUUGGCCCGGAUGCCGUCCCCAGUUAUUCAAUCAAACCCUCUCCUGGUGUUGCUGUGAACACAUCGUGUCCAUGUGGUUCAAAUCUACAAUCAGUUAACCUAACUAAGGAGAGCAUCCUCAGUAAUGUGGGUGGGCCUCAUCCAAUCAGUUGAAGACCUUAAGAGCAAAAACUGAAGUUUCUUCACGCAAGAAGAAACUGUGCCUUUGGAAGACAGCUCCUGCCUGAGGGUCUCCAGCUUGCGGGCCUGUCCUUCAGGUUUCUGACUUGCCCAGCCAGACCCCACAAUCACAUAAGGCAACUGCUUAAAAUAAAUCUCUGUUUCUCUGGUGGAGCCCUGGCUGCCACAAGGAGGAAACAGACAUCCAGUCCCAAUUGCCCCUCCCACCUCGUUCAUUCCACUCAUUCUCUGAGCACUGACUCGGCACCCGUGAUAAAGCGCCUGUGCUAGACCCCAGGUAUGUGGUUGUGAACACGUAGACGCUGACAGACCCGCGGGGAGGCUGGCGUGAAACACACACACACCGGGGUAAGCAGCCAUGCCUUCGUCCCGGCUUGCUGUGGCUCACGGUGCUGGCUUGGCUGGUUCACAGGAGCCCAUCGUGCACAUCCCUUCCUGACUCGGCUUCACGGAUGUCAUGUUGGUAGCCUGACAUUGGCAGUGGUGGGAGUAUUCACACCCUGGAAACUGGCAAAUCAGGGCUUUCCCCCCAGCUUCUCAGCACACUCGGCUUGUCCUGGCCUCUAACCUGGAGGUUACCUCAUGGUCCAAAAUAACUGCUGGAGCCCCAACCAUCAUGUCUUCAUCUCAGGUGUAAAGCAGGAGGAAGAGGAGACGGGCAAAAUAAGCUUUCACCAGCUCUCCGUCCCCUUUUUAAUGAGCUUUCUGCAAAGCCCCCUCACCAACUUCUCCUAUGCCUCACUGGUCAGGACUUGGUACACACCACACCUGGCUGCAAGGGAGGCUGGGAAAUGUGGUCUUUGAUGGCACACAUUUCUGCCCUGAAUAAAAUCAGUUUCUUUGGGAAGGAAGAAGAGAGGACUAGAGAGUGGGAAGGCAGCAGUCCCUGCUCCCCUGCCUUUUCCCCACUGCUCUCUCGCUGCCUCAUUUAACAAUCUCCUGGGCCCUCCAUGUUGUCUGCAACAGAACUCAGACUUCUUGCUACGACCUGCAAGCCCUUUACCAUCUGGCUCCUACCACCCCAUCUGACGUCUCCCCAGGCCUCUACCUCCUUUGUCCCCGUCUUCCAGCCCGCAGACCUGAUUCUUGUUCUGAGGUGAAAGUCAUGUCAUGGUCACUCGGUGUGUCAUCUGUGCCCUGACCAGGGCCUGACAUCAGCCAAAGACCAAGGCACGCGGAGGGAACAGUGUUGCAUGCGGUGCUCUCUGGGGCUGUGCAUGCUCCCAGCGUCUAGUGAUUAGUG
RNAcentral lists this long non-coding RNA (2431 nucleotides) under Equus caballus (horse). Its description in RNAcentral is "lncRNA (ENSECAG00000047666.1)". Lineage: Eukaryota; Metazoa; Chordata; Mammalia; Perissodactyla; Equidae. The record is from RNAcentral.